Long non-coding RNA from Etheostoma cragini (Arkansas darter), 92 nucleotides. RefSeq lists it as uncharacterized. The transcript has 3 exons. NCBI's taxonomy places the organism in Eukaryota, Metazoa, Chordata, Actinopteri, Perciformes, Percidae. The record is from RefSeq and is a predicted model, not a curated record.
CACCAUAACCAUGACCUUAUUCUAAGCUUAAUCCUAAAAUCAAGUUCUAACCCUCAAACAGCCCUUUAAACUUAGACUGCAAAAGUAUACUG